UUUCCCGUCCUCGCCAGUGCCAGGUACAAUCUCGUCAUCUUAGGAGACGAGUCUGUCGGCAAAAGCAGUAUCAUCACUCACUUUAUGAACAACAAGUUCCGUAACAAAUACGAGAUCUUUUGAGGAAUGUGAGGACUCAAGUAUUGCUCAAACUGAUCAAGCCUUACACAAGAAUUCGGAUCCCUUUCAUAUCCAAGGUCAAAGGGGAUGAAGAAAUACACUGCCGUGGAUAAGUGGAACACACAGCUUAGGUCCCUCUAUCAGACUGUUAGUAACCAAGUUUGUUAAUUUUUGAGAUUUUUUGAGAGUAUAUUCUAUCUGAAAAGUCACUCCUAGUCCUGGAAAACAAUAGAUUACAAGCAUUACAUUUACUUUUGCACCAAAGAUGUUCAUGGGUAGUGGAGAAGUGUCCAUUUACAGAGAUGUUGGCUCAAAUCUAGUUUAAAUGUUUUUGACAAAUUUGCUUACUAAACAAACUUAAAAAGUUAAAAGGUACUUCAUCAUUA
Molecule: long non-coding RNA, 506 nt
Organism: Ipomoea nil (Japanese morning glory)
Lineage: Eukaryota; Viridiplantae; Streptophyta; Magnoliopsida; Solanales; Convolvulaceae
Exons: 3
Source: RefSeq, a predicted model, not a curated record